GUAUAUCCCAGUACCGUUCGCCUUAUCCGUAACUGGGUAACUUAGUGAAAACUUGGAAAAUAUCUUACGGCCAAGACAAGAGUCCCAAGUGUUACGAUUCCCUUACGUUAUCGAGUGAGCCACAUUUCAUACCUUUGAGAACGAGUUCAAUUUAUUUUUCCAUCUCACGCUCGGACGGCACUGCUUGAUCUUACAGCUGGACAAACCUCAACUGAUUCACGUUGGAGGCUGAAUUUUCAUGGAGUUCACGUAUAAGCCAAUGACCGUAGGGGUAGGUCAGUGCUACUCGAGGGGAUGUAGGCGAGCACCAGUAGGGUGAUAUGUAUUUAUAUCCAAACUGGUACAGGCGUAGAGAGAAGAAAACCCUUGAAGUAGGGUCGAAUAUCAGGCAUGCGCCUAGCCAAUCUGUCGUAGAGCUGCUUCCCGUGAAGACACGUGGAUUUCAGUUAGUCUGGCGCACUUGCCAGGAUUGCAUGCAUCCAGGAGUCCUGUAUGACAGAUCCUUGGGUCGUUGCGACACGCGGCCUUUUACACGAGAACAAUUCGAUUACGAAACGGACUCGAUAAUAGAAAUAGUGACGGAUAAAGAAUGCGAUUAAUGUUUCAUGAUUUUGUAAACAGGAUGACUUUACGAACGAGUCAAUAAAUGGGAUAAAUAAGACAAAUGUUAAAUUUUUUAUUUAUCACUUAAUGCUACUAAUGACACAUGAAUUUUAAAUUUCAUAUGAAUUUUGACAAUCUACGCGACACUAAAUAUGUAAGGCUCGUGAUUAAUGUAACGCAUGUUUUUUUCGAUCGGACUUUUAUCAUACGUGCACGUUGUAUCGAUGUGAGUGAUAAAUCCUUUGUGAACGUGAUAGUAAUUUUUAAUAAAAUAUUUAUGAAGCACACGCGGACAUCGGGGUGGCGACAUAUUUACUGACUUUUAGUGA
This is a long non-coding RNA of Cephus cinctus (wheat stem sawfly), 932 nucleotides long. RefSeq lists it as uncharacterized. NCBI's taxonomy places the organism in Eukaryota, Metazoa, Arthropoda, Insecta, Hymenoptera, Cephidae. The record is from RefSeq and is a predicted model, not a curated record. The transcript is spliced from 3 exons.